GAUGAACGCUGGCGGCGUGCCUAAUGCAUGCAAGUCGAGCGAACGGACGAGAAGCUUGCUUCUCUGAUGUUAGCGGCGGACGGGUGAGUAACACGUGGAUAGCCUACCUAUAAGACUGGGAUAACUUCGGGAAACCGGAGCUAAUACCGGAUAAUAUUUUGAACCGCAUGGUUCAAAAGUGAAAGACGGUCUUGCUGUCACUUAUAGAUGGAUCCGCGCUGCAUUAGCUAGUUGGUAAGGUAACGGCUUACCAAGGCAACGAUGCAUAGCCGACCUGAGAGGGUGAUCGGCCACGCUGGAACUGAGACACGGUCCAGACUCCUACGGGAGGCAGCAGUAGGGAAUCUUCCGCAAUGGGCGAAAGCCUGACGGAGCAACGCCGCGUGAGUGAUGAAGGUCUUCGGAUCGUAAAACUCUGUUAUUAGGGAAGAACAUAUGUGUAAGUAACUGUGCACAUCUUGACGGUACCUAAUCAGAAAGCCACGGCUAACUACGUG
This 497-nucleotide ribosomal RNA is filed under the name uncultured bacterium. RNAcentral's name for it is "partial 16S ribosomal RNA". It matches the Rfam family "Bacterial small subunit ribosomal RNA", at positions 28 to 507 of the family's 1533-position model. The record is from RNAcentral.